Molecule: non-coding RNA, 1264 nt
Organism: Carica papaya (papaya)
Lineage: Eukaryota; Viridiplantae; Streptophyta; Magnoliopsida; Brassicales; Caricaceae
Source: RefSeq, a predicted model, not a curated record
AAGAGAAAAAAGAAGAGUAGAAGGUCCCGAAGCAGAGCGCCUCACGGGAUGAAAAAGAAUUUAAGCCCAACACGACGAAGACGAAGACGAAUAAUAUUUUCAACUAUCACCGACAAUAUCUUCUCUCGCCGCGAGCCUGCUUAUCGAGGGUUUUGCAGGUUUUGAGGUCGAAAAGUUGUAGCAGAGAGGACUUGAGUUUUAAUGAGGUGGUGCUUUUGACAGAAAAGGAGUUCGUGUAGAAGUUUAUAUCGAGGUCUUGAGAUAGUGCGGAGGAAUUGUUGGUAUGCUACAAAUCUCGUCUUUUGGAUUUAUCUUCUUCUUCUUCUGAGAAGGAAGACUCCUUACUGACACUACUCUCUACGCCCUUCAACUCUAAUAUGCAUCCUUAUUCUGCGGUAAUGUCAUUCUUGGACGUAAACUUAAAAUUGAACGGCCUCGUAUUACAUCAGAAGGCCUGCAAAGGUGAUAUUAUAACAUUCCGAGCUCCUUUACGGCUUCUUGAUAUGGUUGGAGUUUUUCUAAUCUGCCAAGAGUUAUGAUAAUAAAUUCUAUUAUGAGACUCCGCUAAUAAAGUAAGGAGGAGCUCUUUUGGGUUCUGAUCUUGCUUGGUUCUUUUUUUUUUUGUCAUGAGUUUCUCAGCUAACUCAAGGAGAUGCUCGUUUGGGCAAUAUCAUAUGAUCAGUUGCCUGAGUGGAAAAAGUUUCAAGAAAAAGUUUGAUUUGAUUGUAAGUUAUGGGUUUCCGGAGAAAUUAAAGUGUGAUUAUGUUUAGAGGGUUAGCUUCUUCUUAUGACCUCCAAGGAGAAGUUGAAGACAGAAAUCCAAUUCUUCUUGAACAUAAUUGGGUUUGAGAAGGAAAUUUUAGCUGAGAACCUGUCUGCUUGGCGUACAGUUUUGAAGAUAGAAUCUUUCCUUGUUACGGGGUUUUGCAGGUUUCGAGGUUGAGAAGUUGUAGCAGAGAGGACUUGAGUUUUAAUGAGGUGGUGCUUUUGACAGAAAAGGAGUUCGUGUAGAAGUUUAUAUCGAGGUCUUGAGAUAGUGUGGAGGAAUUGUUGGUAUGCUACAAAUCUCGUCUUUUGGAUUUAUCUUCUUCUUCUUCUGCUUCUGAGAAGGAAAGCUCCUUACUGACCCUUUUUUCUCUAUGCUCUUGCUCUUUACUGACCCUAUUCUCUAUGCUCUUCAACUCUAAUAUGCAUUCUUAUUCUGUUGUAGUGCCAUUGUUGGACAUAAAUUUAAAAUUGAAUGGUUAGGAUCGAUUUUAAUGUU